Zea mays is the source of this 45-nucleotide non-coding RNA. The record is from Rfam. Lineage: Eukaryota; Viridiplantae; Streptophyta; Magnoliopsida; Poales; Poaceae.
AAUUUGGUGCUACUCAGCACCAUCGAUAUCACUAGAAAAAAAAUA